RNAcentral lists this ribosomal RNA (578 nucleotides) under uncultured bacterium. Its description in RNAcentral is "bacterial SSU rRNA". It matches the Rfam family "Bacterial small subunit ribosomal RNA", at positions 46 to 635 of the family's 1533-position model. The record is from RNAcentral.
GGAUUAGGCAUGCAAGUCGAACGGACCCUUCGGGGUCAGUGGCGAACGGGUGAGGAAUAGAUGGAUAACGUACCCUGGACACGGGGAUAGCGGCGGGGCUUCGGUCCCUUUGCGAAAGUGCCGGUAAUACCCGAUGACCCCGCGUGGUCGCAUGACCGUGCGGGCAAAUGCUCCGACGGUCUGGNUCGGUCCAUCUCCUAUCAGCUUGUUGGUGAGGUAACGGCUCACCAAGGCAUCGACGGGUAGCGGGCGUGAGAGCGUGGCCCGCCACAUCGGGACUGAGACACUGCCCGGACACCUACGGGUGGCUGCAGCAACGAAUAUUCCGCAAUGGACGAAAGUCUGACGGAGCGACGCCGCGUGCAGGAAGAAUGUCCUUCGGGAUGUAAACUGCUGUCAGGGGCUAGGAAUACCGACCAGCCCCAGAGGAAGCACCGGCUAACUCCGUGCCAGCAGCCGGGUAAAUACGGUGGGUGCAAGCGUUGUUCGGAAUUACUGGGCUUAAUGCGCGUGUAGGGCGGGACGGAAGUUGUCGUGUGAUAGCCCACGGCUCAACCCGUGGACCGCUCGGCAAACUG